Molecule: ribosomal RNA, 402 nt
Filed under: uncultured microorganism
Description: bacterial SSU rRNA
Rfam family: Bacterial small subunit ribosomal RNA
Source: RNAcentral
GAGUUUGAUCCUGGCUCAGAUUGAACGCUGGCGGCAUGCCUUACACAUGCAAGUCGAACGGUAACAGGUCUUCGGAUGCUGACGAGUGGCGAACGGGUGAGUAACACAUCGGAACGUGCCCGAUCGUGGGGGAUAACGAAGCGAAAGCUUUGCUAAUACCGCAUACGAUCUACGGAUGAAAGCAGGGACCGCAAGGCCUUGCGCGAACGGAGCGGCCGAUGGCAGAUUAGGUAGUUGGUGGGAUAAAAGCUUACCAAGCCGACGAUCUGUAGCUGGUCUGAGAGGACGACCAGCCACACUGGGACUGAGGCACGGCCCAGACUCCUACGGGAGGCAGCAGUGGGGAAUUUUGGACAAUGGGCGAAAGCCUGAUCCAGCCAUGCCGCGUGCAGGAUGAAGGCC